Regulatory RNA element from Neotoma lepida (desert woodrat), 322 nucleotides. It matches the Rfam family "Mason-Pfizer monkey virus packaging signal". Rfam says of the family: The packaging signal is located in the 5' UTR and is required for specific RNA encapsidation. Lineage: Eukaryota; Metazoa; Chordata; Mammalia; Rodentia; Cricetidae. The record is from Rfam.
UGGCACCCAACGUUGAGGUUUGAGAAUGUAGAGGAUCAGUGAAUGUUGCACACCAAAGCAGGCCUGCAUAUCAGUUGGACCACCAUGGAGAAUGCUCCACUAGUGAAGAUCCGGUCAAGUGAUCACCACAGGGAUGCCUGACCAUGAGACAGAUCCGGGAGUUGAUUUGUGCUGACGCAAGGUAAGUUUACCAUGGGACAAGCAUUUAGUAAGCAGGAUUUAUUUAUUUCAGGACUUAAACAGUCUCUCAAGACAUGAGGAACAAGNGUNAAAAAGAAAGAUUUNAANAANUUUCUUGAUUAUAUUGGGGACCUUUGUCCCU